Molecule: long non-coding RNA, 364 nt
Filed under: Mytilus galloprovincialis (Mediterranean mussel)
Lineage: Eukaryota; Metazoa; Mollusca; Bivalvia; Mytilida; Mytilidae
Source: RNAcentral
GUCUUAUAACCAAUAGAAAGUGUACCAACACGGACACAUUAUAUUUUCUUAUAAAAAAGGCAGUGGUUUGUAAAAAGAAAAGACUAUCAAGUUUUCCCCGAUUAAUUAUAGAUUUUUAAUGUUUUAACAAUGUUUUAGUUUUACUUCACAUAAUCAAUAAAGUUAUAAAAAUAGAUUUAUGAGUAUCUUAACAACAUUGGUUGUUACACUUCGAUCUUUUUGGUAAUAAGAAGGACCGGAGGUAUGUAGACUGGUUCCCGGUUGAUUACUACACAGAAAUCAUAAUAAAAGCAAAUUCAGUUUAAAUUAAAAUAGUAACUACGAAACCAACAGCGGUAGACGGAGAAAUGUAAUGGAAAGUAAA